RNAcentral lists this ribosomal RNA (440 nucleotides) under uncultured bacterium. Its description in RNAcentral is "partial 16S ribosomal RNA". It matches the Rfam family "Bacterial small subunit ribosomal RNA", at positions 338 to 795 of the family's 1533-position model. The record is from RNAcentral.
CCUACGGGAGGCAGCAGUGGGGGAUAUUGCACAAUGGGGGGAACCCUGAUGCAGCGACGCCGCGUGGGUGAAGGAGCGUUUCGGCGCGUAAAGCCCUAUCGGCAGGGAAGAAGAUGACGGUACCUGACCAAGAAGCCCCGGCUAACUACGUGCCAGCAGCCGCGGUAAUACGUAGGGGGCAAGCGUUAUCCGGAUAUACUGGGUGUAUAGGGGGCGCAGACGGGAAUGCAAGCCAGGAGUGAAAGCACGGGGCCCAACCCCGGGACUGCCCUUGGAACUGGAUGGCUGGAGUCCGGGAGGGGCAGGCGGAAGUCCUAGUGUAGCGGUGAAAUGCGUAGAUAUUAGGAGGAACACCGGUGGCGAAGGCGGCCUGCUGGACUGUGACUGACGUUGAGGCACGAAGGCCAGGGGAGCGAAAGGGAUUAGAUACCCUAGUAGUC